RNAcentral lists this long non-coding RNA (5160 nucleotides) under Equus caballus (horse). RNAcentral's name for it is "lncRNA (ENSECAG00000048870.1)". Lineage: Eukaryota; Metazoa; Chordata; Mammalia; Perissodactyla; Equidae. The record is from RNAcentral.
GUCCUGGGCAGGUUACCCAACUUCUCUGUGCCUUGACGAUCCCAGCCAUUAAAUAGGUAACAAUGUACCUACCCAAGAGUUACUGUGAGGAUUAAAUGGAGGCGCUGUGAACAAUGCUGGCACACAGUCAGGCCUCAAUAAGUUUUAGUAAUUGUUAUUCUCUCCACUCUCUUUUUUCUGUCAUGAGAAUUCUGGGACAAAGGAACACUUAGAGGGUUCUGGGGUUCCUUCUGUGCUGUCACCUGAACUGUCACUUUACUUUCUAGCACAGCUUCUGUUCUUUCAGUCAAUGUUGUAGACCAAAGAGAAGGAAGAAUGUCUCCCAUUUAGGUAAAGACACUUCCAAGAAAUCGACUAGGGACGUAACUGAAUUGGCCUUUGAAGAUGAUGGCCUUUGACUUUAAGGGAGAGAGGAGGCCUGGAGAGACUAUUACAGUCUUAGGGAUGUAGGAAGACCAAUGGCAGGGGCUGGUCUUGUGGCCGAGUGGUUAAGUUCGCACGCUCCGCUUCAGCGAACCCAGGGUUUCACUGGUUCUGAUCCUGGGCGUGGACUUGGCACCUCUCAUCAGGCCAUGCUGAGGCAGCACCCCACAUAGCACAACCAGAAGGACCCACAACUAGAAUAUGCAACUGAGUACUGGGGGGCUUUGAGGAGAAGAAGAAGAAAAGAGAAGAUGGGCAACAGAAGUUAGCUCAGGUGCCAAUCUUUAAAAAAAAAAGAAAAAGAAAAUCAACGGCAGCUAUGGAAAACACCAGCCUACCGGAAUGUGUCUUGAAGGAAAUUAGGCCCCGCUGCAGACUCUGAGAGAAAAGUUAAAUUUUUUGUCAUCGCUCAAGAACCUUGGCUGACAGGGCAGCUGCCAUCUUGAACAUAACUGACCCCUGUGCCAGUGCUCCAACGACUCUCAAAACAGCAAUUAAAUGCUCUGAUUUAUUUCAUUUUCUUCAACUUGUUUGUCAGAAGUAUUCACGUGACCUGAGCCAACAAAAAAGGGCUGAGAAAACGCCAUCUGACCAUCGGGCGGAUUGUGGAGAGAUGGAAAUGUCUGGUGAAUGAUUCCUCCAGGAAAAGCUGAAGAAAGAGAAGGCCUUCAAGGAUCACAGAUAAUCAGCCCCCAGCUGCCGUUGAUGCCCAGAAGUCAGAUUGCCAGGGGCUUAUUUGGAGUGAAAGGGGAUUACCCCUUUUUUCUCCAAAACUUUUCCUGCCCAGCCCCUCAGCUCUAUAACACCCCCUGCCUUCUUCUCUUGUUAAGGCGGAUCUGAGAGAACCUAUCCCCUGGGCUUCUCAUUUUGGCCAAUACACCUUUCUCCAUCACCAAGCACCGGUAGGUGUCUCAGACAUUGGUUUACUGUCGACAAAUUUGAGAUUAAGAGGUUCGGUAUCAAGUGCAGCUGACAAGGAAUGAGUUUGAACUAGGCCAGAAAUGACCAGGCACGGAGUCACAAUUUGCUAUUUGUCACAUUAAUCUUUAGGCCCAAGGAAUUUCUUGUCCAUGAGGGAUGGUUUUUUUCCUCCCUUCAGGAAGCCCAUGGAACGUUGCUGGCUAUGGCAACAAAAUACCCUGAAUUUUCUGUGACAAUCCUGAUUCUCAGUUUUCAAUCCAUGUUCCUCAUAAAGGCAUUUUUAUUUGUCAGUCCUCAAUUUGGGUCAGAGAUGUGGUCUCUCUUCCAGAUGUCCAGAGGACAGCUGCUUGUUUAGAGCCUAGAGGACAAGGAGGAGCCCGCAGCCCCCGUGAGGAAUGAGUGAGUUUCUGACACCACCCUCCAACUCCACCCUGUGGCACUACACACAAAUCUAAAUUAUGCAGAAACCUCACUUUUAAUAACUUUGAGUCAUUCAUGCAGCCUGUUCUGAGGACGUUCUCCAACCAUUCUUCCUACCUUCUUUCAGCAGAUACUUAGUAGAUUGGUCCCCUUCAAUCAAUGGGGCUCUGUCCUCUAUACAUCGAUUCACUCUUGUCCGUGAUGCAAUUAUAGUUUUCACAGUAUGGAAUUGGUCUUUAUGGAACAGUCUUUCUAGACUGUAAAUGCCUUCAAGGUGAGGCCUGGAUGAACAAACGAAUAAAUGAGAAAAAACUAAAGACCGAAACCUCUUUUAAAAAGUUUAAAAGUAUGAUUAAAAUGUCAUUUAAAAAUCUACAUGGCAAAUAACAGGAACUCAAGAAAUGCUUGAAUUAAUGAAUUUGUGUUUUAUACAUUGUUUUGAAGAUUUCCCAUUUUCUACCUAGAUGUUAAGGUGAUCAUUGAAAAGAAGACAUACUGAUAAAAUGAAUAACUCCGCAAGCAAACCUGUCUUUAAAGGAUUUCUUGACCUCUGAAAAAUGAGAGAUGAUCUUAAGUCAUCAAAAAAAGUCACCUCUAAAACCUCUAAAAUAGUGUGAUACCGGGAUUUGCUUCACAACAAUCUGGGAGGGGCAGACAGCGGGAAGGGUGGAGACGAGUUGUUUCCGUGGAAGUUGACUUGAGUGCGUGAACUUUGAGAACUGGGUCAUCUGUUCCUCUUAUUGCUGAUUGAACUGAGUAAUUUCACCAUGUAGAAGCCUCAUUAUCUGUCAAAGGGAUCUUCUGAGAAAACUGGACAGUUAGCGGACCUUUUAAGCAAACGACAUCCUGUGGACAUUAUUUUAAGCGCCCUGGAGCAUCCUGGAAACCACUGGUUUUCAAAACUUUUCUUGCACACGAUCCACUGUAGAAAGACGUUUUACAUCACAACACGCAUAAAUCUAUGUUACUGAAAUGAAAGUUUUGUGAGAAAAUACUUUUCCUUACUAGACAUGAUGCAUUCUGAUAUUUUCCAUUUCAUUGUAAUCAUUUUUUUAAAAAAUUCUGGUUUGUAACCCAUUAAAUUGAUUUUACCACCAACAAUUGAGACUCAAGAGUAUGAAACAGAGACGUGAACAAAUCAGGGUGCCGGUUGGACUCGAGAAUAAUAUGAGAUUCAAGUGAAUUUCAUUUGAGGGAAAAAAGUUUGGUAGAAUUUAGAAGUCAACAAAUUUGUGGGUUAUUUUCCAUAACGUAAAACUUCAAAUUUUUUGGAAUUAAGCAUUUUUUGCAAUCAGUAUGUGGCUAAUAUCGGUAAAAGACAAUUUAGCAGUAUAGCUCUUUUAAAUAUUAUACAUUUGCAAUGAAAAGAAUGAUUCCUUAGUUCCAGAAGGUCCAAAUAUGAAGUCGCGGCCCAAAAUAAGAAAGAAGAUAGUCUAAGUGGACAAUUGCAAGAGGGAAUUGACAACAGUCUGGAGGCCUGGUAAAGGAUCUACAACACUGUGUUGAGAGAAGGCUGUGUUCUUACAGAGAACAGAAGAGAUAGCGUCUGAUAAAAUGGGCCUGUGCCUCCGAGUCUGAUAGCGGUGCCUUCUGAUUUUGCCGUAUCUCUAGUCAAUGAAGCCACAAGAGUCACAGCUUGGACAAGGCCACAAGGACCUAAGGGUGCUCUAUGACCCACAGCAUCCAGCCUGUCCUCAGACUCUUCCUGCGAUGGGGGAUGGCUCGUGAUAACUCUUCCAGCUUCCAGAGGAAGCGUGGCUGGUUGACCUUGCUCAACAGUCUUAACCUUUCUGCAUCUCAGUUUUUUAACUUGUAAAUGUGUUCAAGACGUAUUCUUUGCCUUCCUACUAUGGGACCCCUGCCACAGCAUGGCGUGCCAAGCAGUGUGCCAUGUCCGCACCUGGGAUCCGAGCCAGCGAACCCCUGGCUGCCAGAGCAGAACGUGAGACUUAACUGCUGCAUCACCGGGCCAGCCCCUACUUUUGUAUUUUUGAUCAAAAUAAGGCACUGAGUUUCUAGAGGAAGACUAUGAGUUCAGCUUUGGACAUGUUGCUCUGAAUUUGGCUGUGGAUGGUAAGAUGGGGUCACACCCACUGGGCACGAGAUCUGGAGCUGACGUUUACACAUUGUUGACUCCCCAACACCGAUUCCACUCCUCUCUCAAUGUGAUCUGGGAAAUUGCCCUCAUCUCAAAGGUGGGCCUGAUUGAUCUAAAAGUACUGAUCUGAAAGUCACCCUACUUGCCAGGAAUUGGUUCAGGGAUAGACAUGUGAUAUAGUUCUCAUCAAUGAGAGGCAAUGAGAUGUUUGCAGGAGGCUUCUGGGAAAGGCCGUCUCUCCCUGUGGAUCUGGAUGGGGAAGCCUCCAGCCCUGGCGCUCCUGACAGCUUUCCUACAGCCACAAAGAUCCAGCCACAGGAUGAGGCCAAGUCUGUGGACCACAGCGCCGAGAGAGAGCCUGCUUCCUUGACGACAUUGUUGAACCUGCUCAUCAGUUAUCUUGGAAGCUUGUACUGGCUGUGGACUGCCUCUUACUUGAACUCAGUCUCCCUGGGUCUGCCCUUCAACAAGUAGCCCUGUGACCCUGAACAUUCUGCAGUCACUUCGCCUUUCUGGGUUUCAGUGAGCUCAACUGUGAACCGGGUCAGAAGAAAAAGAUGAACUUUCCAGUUGAAGAAAAUAUUUUAAUACAUAAACUCUCGGAGGAAGGCACGUACCGCCUCUCAGAAUGGAAGACUCGGUGGGGCGGGUUGGAGACUCACCUUCUGCAGCUGCAGCCUCUGAGAGCCUGGCUCCCAGCGAGGUGUCGCAGCUCCGGGUUUCCCACACUGGAACGUGGUGAAGACGAAGAACAUUAAUUCGGAUUAUGGAACGUGGAAGCUCCCUGCGCUGUGACAGCUCAUGAGAAAGAGAACACCGCUUCCUUUUUUGGAAGGAAUUGGGAGUGUCACGUAUGUAUUAAUUCUUGGGUUCAAGCCGAGUUUCUUUAGGGGUGAGGUGCAAUCGUUACCUUUAGGUCAUCCUGGGUGGGGGCGUAGGCUAUUAUUUUAGGUUCUUCAGAAGGGAGGUUUGCCUAAUCUUAGAUGAUCAAGUUUCCUAUUAUGAACCUUCCUUCAAUUUUGAAAGGUUAUCAUUCAUAGUUCGUGCUGAUAGAGAACAAUGUUGGAAGCAUUCCUUAGUUCAAGGGGAUUUCACGCCUGGGUAAUUUUCAAGUUUUACUGUUUUCCAGCUUACUAGCCUGCCUGAGGAUCCCUACUGCUUCUUAAAUUUCACAAAUAAGCGAGUUAAAGAAAAAAGCAUACACACCAAAAACAAACCAAUACUUAACUCCCUCUUCCAACCACCCCACUGUCCCGAGGGAGAUAUGCGCAAAGUCAGAAAUAAAGUGGCAAGUUUCC